CCUACGGGAGGCAGCAGUCGAGAAUCAUUCACAAUGGGGGAAACCCUGAUGCUGCGACGCCGCGUGGGGGAAUGAAGGUCUUCGGAUUGUAAACCCCUGUCAUGUGGGAGCAAAUUAAAAAGAUAGUACCACAAGAGGAAGAGACGGCUAACUCUGUGCCAGCAGCCGCGGUAAUACAGAGGUCUCUAGCGUUGUUCGGAAUCACUGGGCGUAAAGCGUGCGUAGGCUGUUUCGUAAGGCGUGUGUUAAAGGCGCGGGCCCAAACCGCGGGAGGCACAUGUUACUGGGAGAGCAGAGGGAUGGAGGGGGAAAGGGAAUUCUCGGUGGAGGAGGGAAAUGGGGAGAUA
Molecule: ribosomal RNA, 347 nt
Filed under: uncultured bacterium
Lineage: Bacteria
Description: partial 16S ribosomal RNA
Rfam family: Bacterial small subunit ribosomal RNA
Source: RNAcentral